Molecule: ribosomal RNA, 482 nt
Filed under: uncultured bacterium
Lineage: Bacteria
Description: partial 16S ribosomal RNA
Rfam family: Bacterial small subunit ribosomal RNA
Source: RNAcentral
AUUGAACGCUGGCGGCAUGCUUUACACAUGCAAGUCGAAUGGUAACAGCACUUCGGUGGCUGACGAGUGGCGAACGGGUGAGUAAUACAUCGGAACGUGCCUAGUAGUGGGGGAUAACUACUCGAAAGAGUAGCUAAUACCGCAUGAGAUCUAAGGAUGAAAGCAGGGGACCUUCGGGCCUUGCGCUACUAGAGCGGCUGAUGGCAGAUUAGGUAGUUGGUGGGAUAAAAGCUUACCAAGCCGACGAUCUGUAGCUGGUCUGAGAGGACGACCAGCCACACUGGGACUGAGACACGGCCCAGACUCCUACGGGAGGCAGCAGUGGGGAAUUUUGGACAAUGGGCGCAAGCCUGAUCCAGCAAUGCCGCGUGCAGGACGAAGGCCUUCGGGUUGUAAACUGCUUUUGUACGGAACGAAAAGCCCUCUUCUAAUACAGGAGGGUCAUGACGGUACCGUAAGAAUAAGCACCGGCUAACUACGUG